This 274-nucleotide ribosomal RNA is filed under the name uncultured bacterium. RNAcentral describes it as "partial 16S ribosomal RNA". It matches the Rfam family "Bacterial small subunit ribosomal RNA", at positions 523 to 796 of the family's 1533-position model. The record is from RNAcentral.
AGACGGGGGGUGCUAGCGUUGUUCGGAAUUACUGGGCGUAAAGGGCGCGUAGGCGGCUCUGCGAGUCGGGCGUGGAAUCCCGGGGCUCAACCCCGGAACGGCGCUCGAUACUGCGGGGCUGGAGACCGGAAGAGGAGGGUGGAAUUCCCAGUGUAGAGGUGAAAUUCGUAGAUAUUGGGAGGAACACCGGUGGCGAAAGCGGCUCUCUGGUCCGGUUCUGACGCUGAGGCGCGAAAGCGUGGGGAGCAAACAGGAGUAGAAACCCUUGUAGUCC